RNAcentral lists this ribosomal RNA (490 nucleotides) under uncultured bacterium. RNAcentral's name for it is "partial 16S ribosomal RNA". It matches the Rfam family "Bacterial small subunit ribosomal RNA", at positions 30 to 507 of the family's 1533-position model. The record is from RNAcentral.
AUUGAACGCUGGCGGCAGGCUUAACACAUGCAAGUCGAGCGGUAGCACAGGGGAGCUUGCUCCCUGGGUGACGAGCGGCGGACGGGUGAGUAAUGUCUGGGAAACUGCCUGAUGGAGGGGGAUAACUACUGGAAACGGUAGCUAAUACCGCAUAACGUCGCAAGACCAAAGAGGGGGACCUUCGGGCCUCUUGCCAUCAGAUGUGCCCAGAUGGGAUUAGCUAGUAGGUGGGGUAAUGGCUCACCUAGGCGACGAUCCCUAGCUGGUCUGAGAGGAUGACCAGCCACACUGGAACUGAGACACGGUCCAGACUCCUACGGGAGGCAGCAGUGGGGAAUAUUGCACAAUGGGCGCAAGCCUGAUGCAGCCAUGCCGCGUGUGCGAAGAAGGCCUUCGGGUUGUAAAGCACUUUCAGCGAGGAGGAAGGUGGUGAGCUUAAUACGUUCAUCAAUUGACGUUACUCGCAGAAGAGGCACCGGCUAACUCCGUG